AACGAACGCUGGCGGCGUGCCUAACACAUGCAAGUCGAACGAGAAAGGGGCUUCGGCUCCGAGUAAAGUGGCGCACGGGUGAGUAACACGUGGGUAACCUGCCUCUAAGAUUGGGAUAACUCGUCGAAAGAUGAGCUAAUACCGAAUAAGACCACAGUUCCCGCGGGAACAGGGGUCAAAGGUAGCCUCUGCUUGCAAGCUAUCACUUAGAGAUGGGCCUGCGCACCAUUAGCUAGUUGGUAGGGUAACGGCCUACCAAGGCAAAGAUGGUUAGCUGGUCUGGGAGGAUGAUCAGCCAAACUGGAACUGAGACAAGGUCCAGACUCCUACGGGAGGCAGCAGUGGGGAAUAUUGCGCAAUGGGCGAAAGCUUGACGCAGCAACGCCGCGUGAGUGAUGAAGGCCUUCGGGUCGUAAAGCUCUGUCGGGAGGAACGAAUGCUCCUGAGGUUAACAGCCUCGGGAGGUGACGGUACCUUCAAAGGAAGCACCGGCUAACUCUGUG
This 503-nucleotide ribosomal RNA is filed under the name uncultured bacterium. Its description in RNAcentral is "partial 16S ribosomal RNA". It matches the Rfam family "Bacterial small subunit ribosomal RNA", at positions 29 to 507 of the family's 1533-position model. The record is from RNAcentral.